This 1372-nucleotide ribosomal RNA is filed under the name uncultured bacterium. RNAcentral describes it as "partial 16S ribosomal RNA". It matches the Rfam family "Bacterial small subunit ribosomal RNA", at positions 28 to 1381 of the family's 1533-position model. The record is from RNAcentral.
GAUGAACGCUGGCGGCGUGCCUAAUACAUGCAAGUCGAGCGAACGGACGAGAAGCUUGCUUCUCUGAUGUUAGCGGCGGACGGGUGAGUAACACGUGGAUAACCUACCUAUAAGACUGGGAUAACUUCGGGAAACCGGAGCUAAUACCGGAUAAUAUUUUGAACCGCAUGGUUCAAAAGUGAAAGACGGUCUUGCUGUCACUUAUAGAUGGAUCCGCGCUGCAUUAGCUAGUUGGUAAGGUAACGGCUUACCAAGGCAACGAUGCAUAGCCGACCUGAGAGGGUGAUCGGCCACACUGGAACUGACACACGGUCCAGACUCCUACGGGAGGCAGCAGUAGGGAAUCUUCCGCAAUGGGCGAAAGCCUGACGGAGCAACGCCGCGUGAGUGAUGAAGGUCUUCGGAUCGUAAAACUCUGUUAUUAGGGAAGAACAUAUGUGUAAGUAACUGUGCACAUCUUGACGGUACCUAAUCAGAAAGCCACGGCUAACUACGUGCCCGCAGCCGCGGUAAUACGUAGGUGGCAAGCGUUAUCCGGAAUUAUUGGGCGUAAAGCGCGCGUAGGCGGUUUGUCGCGUCGUCUGUGAAAUUCCGGGGCUUAACUCCGGGCGUGCAGGCGAUACGGGCAUAACUUGAGUACUGUAGGGGUAACUGGAAUUCCUGGUGUAGCGGUGAAAUGCGCAGAUAUCAGGAGGAACACCGAUGGCGAAGGCAGGUUACUGGGCAGUUACUGACGCUGAGGAGCGAAAGCAUGGGUAGCGAACAGGAUUAGAUACCCUGGUAGUCCAUGCCGUAAACGGUGGGCGCUAGGUGUGAGGGUCUUUUCACGACUUUCGUGCCGUAGCUAACGCAUUAAGCGCCCCGCCUGGGGAGUACGGCCGCAAGGCUAAAACUCAAAGGAAUUGACGGGGGCCCGCGCAAGCGGCGGAGCAUGUGGAUUAAUUCGAUGCAACGCGAAGAACCUUACCUGGGCUUGACAUACACUGGAUCGGGCUAGAGAUAGUCUUUCCCUUUGUGGCUGGUGUACAGGUGGUGCAUGGUUGUCGUCAGCUCGUGUCGUGAGAUGUUGGGUUAAGUCCCGCAACGAGUGCAACCCUUGUCUUAUGUUGCCAGCAUUUGGUUGGGGACUCAUGAGAGACUGCCGGGGUCAACUCGGAGGAAGGUGGGGAUGACGUCAAAUCAUCAUGCCCCUUAUGUCCAGGGCUUCACACAUGCUACAAUGGUCGGUACAACGCGCAGCGACACUGUGAGGUGGAGCGAAUCGCUGAAAGUUGUUCUCAGUUCGGAUUGGGGUCUGCAACUCGACCCCAUGAAGUCGGAGUCGCUAGUAAUCGCAGAUCAGCAAUGCUGCGGUGAAUACGUUCCCGGGCCU